AACGAACGCUGGCGGCAUGCCUAACACAUGCAAGUCGUACGAGACCUUCGGGUCUAGUUGCGCACGGGUGCGUAACGCGUGGGAACCUGCCCUUAGGUUCGGAAUAACUCCCCGAAAGGGGUGCUAAUACCGGAUAAUGUCUUCGGACCAAAGAUUUAUCGCCUUUGGAUGGGCCCGCGUUGGAUUAGCUAGUUGGUAGGGUAAAAGCCUACCAAGGCGACGAUCCAUAGCUGGUCUGAGAGGAUGAUAAGCCACACUGGGACUGAGACACGGCCCAGACUCCUACGGGAAGCAGCAGUGGGGAAUAUUGGACAAUGGGCGAAAGCCUGAUCCAGCAAUGCCGCGUGAGUGAUGAAGGCCUUAGGGUUGUAAAGCUCUUUUACCCGGGAUGAUAAUGACAGUACCGGGAGAAUAAGCUCCGGCUAACUACGUG
RNAcentral lists this ribosomal RNA (433 nucleotides) under uncultured bacterium. Its description in RNAcentral is "partial 16S ribosomal RNA". It matches the Rfam family "Bacterial small subunit ribosomal RNA", at positions 29 to 507 of the family's 1533-position model. The record is from RNAcentral.